GAUGAAGAACGUAGCGAAAUGCGAUAAGUAAUGUGAAUUGCAGAAUUCAGUGAAUCAUCGAAUCUUUGAACGCACAUUGCGCCCGCCAGUAUUCUGGCGGGCAUGCCUGUUCGAGUGUCAUUUCAACCAUCAAGCCCUGCUUGCGUUGGGGUCCUGCGGCUGCCCGCAGGCCCUGAAAACCAGUGGCGGGCUCGCUAGUCACACCGAGCGCAGUAAUACAUCUCGCUUUGGGCGUGCGGCGGGUUCUUGCCGUUAAACACCCCCUUUUUACCAAGGUUGACCUCGGAUCAGGUAGGAAUACCCGCUGAACUUAAGCAUAUCAUAAGCGGAGGA
This 333-nucleotide unclassified non-coding RNA is filed under the name soil metagenome. RNAcentral's name for it is "partial contains 5.8S ribosomal RNA, internal transcribed spacer 2, and large subunit ribosomal RNA". The stretch from base 1 to 120 matches the Rfam family "5.8S ribosomal RNA", at positions 35 to 154 of the family's 154-position model. The record is from RNAcentral.